CGUCCUCCCCUAGCGUCUGAGUGAAUGGUAUCGUCUGGAAGAACCUCUACUAGAGAGGGAGAGCGCGAGCGCUGCUCGUGAGAGGACAGUGCUCAUCAGCGGGAAUGGCGGAGACCGUUCGCUCGCUCUUCGACAACCAGGAGCCGCCGACGCUGGACAGCAACGGAGAGAGCAGCAAACCGCCACAGCCGCGAGGACGUGGCUGUGGAAGGAAAAGGAAAGGGACACCAGUAAAAGUGUGUGACAGAGUCUUUGCUACAGAGGAUGAGGAGGAGAGCAUGUCUGAGAACAGCUAUGGACCAGAGAAAGGUGAUGGUCAUGAGGACAAACACAGAGUGCCUGCUGCUGAUGGACCAUACUAUGAAACUCAAUCUGCUCAGCUCUGUGUAAGUGAGGACGGCUCUAGCAGAGGGAGGGGGGCCGUCUCAUACCCCCCACCACCAAACUGCUGCAUUCGUGAAGUGCACUGUGGAAAUCAAGUGCGACUGACUGUCAUAGCGAUCUGCGACAUCGCUAAGGGGGAGGAGAUCACUGUGGAUUACAGUUUGACCGAGUGGGGAGAAAACGCUAUGGGUUUCCAUGGCACUGUACCUCCUAGUAGCUUUGAUUGCAGCUCAGACCACGAAAGCAACAUUAAGAAGGAGGAAGAGUCCGGCCCAGUUCCACUUUCUGCAUCAGAAUACCUCACACCUUCCUGGUCUCUCUCUCCUUCCUCCUCUCCUUUGUCUCACUCUGAGCCAAGUGAUUCAGACCUUGACUCGGAUGAUGCCAAUGGAGAGAGACGCAUGCGAAUACCUCACCGCCGCAAGAGGCACAAAGCCCUGUCCUCUCCUGCUGCACAUGCUAAGAGAAAAGCACUUCAACGACCCCCCAGCCAUCCUCCCACUUUUCCACACUCCAUCCUGUCCUCCCCACUGCAGCCCGCUGCUCCCUCCAGACCUGUGUUUAAGUGCCCUCCGUCUUCAGGAAUUCCUGCUAAUAGUGUCAAUGUGUCAGUGGGUUGUGGGCAGAGCACCAUGGCACAGAAACAGCGCUGUGUUUACUGUGGCCGUCACUUCCGAUCUCUCCCACACCAUCUGGAUAAACACCACGCCCACCAACCAGACGUGUGCUCUGCCAUGGUGCAAGCAUGCACCUCUGGUGACCCUCCUUGUGUACAGUCACCUCUCCCAUCAUCGAGCAAGCAAUCCCAAUGCCUUCAAGUGGCUCCUGUGCCAGGUGUGGUGGUGGGAACACCACAGUCACCUCCCUCUUCUUCUUUGUCUCCGGUCAGAAGGAGCCCUGCCCUCUCUAGCCCUAUUUACAAAAGUCCUACCCCAGCCCUGACAACUCCACCCAGAAGAGGUGGUGUUCCAGUGUCUGUCUUAAAGAGGAGCCCACCUACUCCUGCUACUCCUCCCAGAAAAGGACGAAAAACUAAAAAGGAUAAAGAGGAGGUGGACAUUUUUGAGAAGACAAAAGAAGAGGAAUUGCCCACUCCAGUGUUUUUGGACCAUGUUAAGGAGUCAGAACCUUCGAAAGAAGAAAGAGAGGACAAUGGAGGGAGAGAAGAAGAAAGCGGAGCAGAGGAUAAGACCGACCUAUCAAGUUUGCGUCGUCCCCACAUGCUCCCACUUCUUUCCUCCCUUUCCUCCCUGGUGUUGUACCUGCGGCGGCUGCAGCACUCUGCCUUUAUUUCUCUCUCCCGCUCACCACAGUCGGCCGAGGCAUGGCGUCUCCUCUGUCACUCCAGUCUGGCCCUUCUCAUCCUUUACAAUCGCCGCCGUGAAUGUGAAGUCUCCAAACUCACCGUCUCCGAGUACCAGGCCCGCGUCACACCCCAGUGCCCCAUCCCUGUGCAAUCUGGUGCCCCACCAACUCUUACCCCACUGGAGGCCUCGCUCUCACCCUUCGAGCGGAUGGUCCUCCCCCAUCUCCCUCGUGUUGGAGUCCAAGGGAAACGUGGCCGCGUACAGCCACUCAUCCUCCCACCACACUCUGAAGCCUGUCUGGAGAUGCUUUUGCAGACUCGUGCCGGCGUGGGAAUUGAUCCACAGAACGCCUAUGUGUUUGCCAGGCCGUAUCAUUCGCCAGCCACUCCCCUACGAGGCACAGAUUUACUACGUAGUUUGGCUCGGUCCAGUGGUUCUCAGCACCCGCGGGCACUGACACAGACACGCGUUCGGAGGCAGGUGGCGAUACUUACUCAACUGCUGUUGUUAAGUGAGGGUGAGGAGGAAGGGCAGCAUGGGUCUGCCAUACAGCGAUUGGAAAGCUUUUUGCAGAAGGAGUAUCACGUGACGCAAAGCUGUGCAACCAUUGGCCAGGACCCUGGGCUGAUGGGUCUGAUUGGUCGGGUGGUACUAUGCGGAGAGAGAGAUGGCGUCUUGUUCCGUGGAAUGAGUUUACACCACAUCUGUCUGGAGUUAGAUGUGUUGUCAGGAAACUCUGCUGACUCGUUGUCAGAGGAGUCAGAUGCUGAGCAGAGUAAAGAGAAACCUGAAGCACCAUCUCCUGCAACCAGCAUUAUGAUGAAGAAAACCAAAAGCAACAGCAAAUCUCCCAGGCCCAAGAAGAUGAACAGCAGCUCCCUGCUCUCAACGGGACGCAAAAAGGCCUCAGGACAGCCCAAGCCUGGUAAACGUGGUGUGCUGAAGCGGCCUUGGUCUGAGGCAGAGCGGGCAGCUGUCGAGUCCCACCUGGUGCAAAACAUCAUGGAGCUGCGUGUGCCGGCUAAAGCGGACUGUGAACGCUGCCUGGAGCUCUGCCCCCUGCUGGUCACUAACCACCGGGACUGGAGGGCUGUGAAAUUCUACUGCCACAACCGUAUACAGCUGCUCAAGAAAACCCAGCAGAGACAGGGUCCACCCGUCCUGUCCGUCUGCUGAGGCUGUGAAUCGGCACGCUGCUGGGAAGGGUCAUCCAAUAACAGCAGAUGUGUAAGGGAGGGAAUGUGAGGAGGUGCUGAGGGAAAAUAUUUACAUGGUACAGUCACAGUAAACACAGUACAAAUGCUUUAAUUAAUGUGAUGUUGUGUGUGAUUUGUGUCCAGUGUGUAAAACGGAAAAUGGUAACACUCUGGGAAGCAGACUGAAAUGCACACUUGUGUACUUUUCCAAAAUAUUUUUCCAGCUAUGACGAAGGACACUAAUUUUUCUGUCUGUAGAUUACCAGUAAGUUUUUCUGUUGCUGGCUUGAAAGUAGAUGAACAUUUUUGACCAGCUGAAAGUCUGAAUGGCUUUGCUCUCCCUUUGGCCAUGCCUAUAUCUCACCAGUGAAAGAGAAUCAGGCAGACUGAGCAACUUGUGCCUUGAUGGGAGUCAAACCUCAAUUUCAUUCACAUUUGUGAACAUUUUUCUGCUACAUGCAGAUUUCAUAAUUUUUCAUGAAAUUUGACUGGUUUUUCAAAAUGCAUCUUUUUUCCCCAUUGCAAUUCCAAUUAAUUAAUGCAAUUACAAAUAAAAAUAACAUAUGGUAUCAGAAUACAGAGUCCAGUGCACAGAUUCAUAUGGAUGACAUUUAUGACAUUUUUUGAUGUUUAUGCAUUAUUAAUUGUAAUUGCAUGAACAAAAAUUACCAGAACAUUCUUCGGAAUUCCUCCUUUUGUGUUCCAGAGCAUGAGUGAGGAUUUCUUUUUGGGUUCUUUUCAUUCAUUUCAAACCACUGAAGUUAGCUGUUUGGUAGCUUGUUCGGGAUUGGAAAAUAAGCAUUUGUUUGUCCUGUAGCUCUAGAAAUGGACAUGAAUGAGUGAGCGGAUGAUUUUGAUUCACUUAUUUGCUUUGUAUCCAUCCAUCAAAUCCAUAUCAGAACUUAAACUGUGUAUUGGAAACGCAUGAUAACCACACAUAACACCUCAGUUUAUACUCUAUACUUUGCUGUUUUGUUAUCCUUUGUCCUUUCAAACUUUGCAAUAUAUAUAUGUUCACACACAUAUAUAUUGUCGUACUAUUAACAGUGGGAUUAUUACUAUUAAAUCUUACUGUAGCAAGUGUUUUUUCCAUUUCCACUUCAUGUGUAUAUAUACUGAAUGUAAAUAUUUGCAGGAAAAAAAGAGCACGAUGUAAAUAUACCGUAGGCAAGACAAGCUUGUUUUUGUGUUGUCUGUAUGUUUUUCUAAGUUGUCUGAAAUGGUAA
Molecule: long non-coding RNA, 4113 nt
Organism: Sinocyclocheilus anshuiensis
Lineage: Eukaryota; Metazoa; Chordata; Actinopteri; Cypriniformes; Cyprinidae
Source: Ensembl